GCAGGAGGCUGAUGCAGAGGUCGCAGCAGGAGGGACUGGAGGUGGAACCACACAACCUCAGCUCCUCGGAUGGAGACAAGGCCCCGAUGGGAUGGAAAGCUCAAGGAGUCCAGGAAUGUCUUCCUAUCCAAAUUGUUACCUGCUUGUCACUCGGAAGAAGAGGUGAAUGAAUGCAAGAAGCAGGUGGUGAUGCUGGUACUGUGCUGCUCCUCCAGCCUUCCUUCCCAGCCCAGGGAGAAGCCCCUGUGCUGGGGUGCACAGGCUGCUCCCAAGCUCUGCAGUCAGAUGUGCUGAGGUUGCUAUUUUCUGGCAGGAGGUUGUUAACCCCAGAACUGUGGAACAUUUGAAGUUCAUUGUGUCUAGACACAGAAGAAUGUGAGUGCUGUCAGCUCUGAUACACACAAAAUAAACUAGCUCCAAAGAUUUUCCCUUUCAAG
Calidris pugnax (ruff) is the source of this 437-nucleotide long non-coding RNA. RefSeq lists it as uncharacterized. The transcript has 3 exons. Lineage: Eukaryota; Metazoa; Chordata; Aves; Charadriiformes; Scolopacidae. The record is from RefSeq and is a predicted model, not a curated record.